CGCCGUGAGACGGAAUCUGAAGGAAGCCGGAGGCAAACAUCUGGUCUGACGGAUAGAAACCCGAUACAAGGCCUUUGGAUGAGGAUGAGACUGCAAUAGAAGUCAAAGUCCUAUAGCUAUCCGAAUUAUCCAAGGUAAAUUACUCCGUU
RNAcentral lists this non-coding RNA (149 nucleotides) under pig gut metagenome. The record is from RNAcentral.